RNAcentral lists this unclassified non-coding RNA (200 nucleotides) under Cystolepiota sp. RNAcentral's name for it is "partial internal transcribed spacer 2". Lineage: Eukaryota; Fungi; Basidiomycota; Agaricomycetes; Agaricales; Agaricaceae. The record is from RNAcentral.
UUAAGUUCAGCGGGUAAUCCUACCUGAUUUGAGGUCAAACUUUCAAUAAAGUUGUCCACAAGGGACUGUUAGAAGCUGAACAGACAGAGAGCUUUCUAUAGUCUUAGGCGUAGAUAAUUAUCACACCAGUGACAGAUCGCAAACCGUUCCGCUAAUACAUUUUAGAGGAGCUGACCAACAAAGGCCUGCAAAACCCCCAU